ACUUUUAUAGUAUAAUAGUAUAUGUGACUUCCAAUCACAAGGUUUAAAUUUUUUUAAUAAAAGUA
This 65-nucleotide transfer RNA is filed under the name Thaumalea sp. ZK-2019. Its description in RNAcentral is "tRNA-Gly". It matches the Rfam family "tRNA". From Rfam's summary of the family: Transfer RNA (tRNA) molecules are approximately 80 nucleotides in length. Their secondary structure includes four short double-helical elements and three loops (D, anti-codon, and T loops). Lineage: Eukaryota; Metazoa; Arthropoda; Insecta; Diptera; Thaumaleidae. The record is from RNAcentral.